CUCUUGCGAUCAAUACCUCUAUCCCAGUCCACAUUACACGAUCUCGGCCUUCUUCGUGUAACUCUUGAAUUGAAAGGUUCGGUGAUUUGAACAAAGAGCAGUAUUGAAGCUUUAAGAUCCAUCUAUCAGCCUUGGAAGAAUCAUGAUCACAGACGUCCAGCUAGCAGCGUUUGCGAACAUCCUAGGUGUCUCCCUAUUUCUUCUUGUUGUCCUUUAUCACUUUGUUGCAGUCAACAAUCCCAAGAGGAAGGAAGAAUGAGCAACUUGCUUGAAAGUAACGUAA
This is a long non-coding RNA of Pocillopora verrucosa, 283 nucleotides long. RefSeq lists it as uncharacterized. The record is from RefSeq and is a predicted model, not a curated record. NCBI's taxonomy places the organism in Eukaryota, Metazoa, Cnidaria, Anthozoa, Scleractinia, Pocilloporidae.